Molecule: ribosomal RNA, 450 nt
Filed under: uncultured bacterium
Lineage: Bacteria
Description: partial 16S ribosomal RNA
Rfam family: Bacterial small subunit ribosomal RNA
Source: RNAcentral
GUGGGGAAUAUUGGACAAUGGGCGAAAGCCUGAUCCAGCCAUGCCGCGUGUGUGAAGAAGGUCUUCGGAUUGUAAAGCACUUUAAGUUGGGAGGAAGGGCAGUAAGUUAAUACCUUGCUGUUUUGACGUUACCAACAGAAUAAGCACCGGCUAACUUCGUGCCAGCAGCCGCGGUAAUACGAAGGGUGCAAGCGUUAAUCGGAAUUACUGGGCGUAAAGCGCGCGUAGGUGGUUUUGUAAGUUGGGGGUGAAAUCCCCGGGCUCAACCUGGGAACUGCCUCCAAAACUGCAUGACUAGAGUACGGUAGAGGGUAGUGGAAUUUCCUGUGUAGCGGUGAAAUGCGUAGAUAUAGGAAGGAACACCAGUGGCGAAGGCGACUACCUGGACUGAUACUGACACUGAGGUGCGAAAGCGUGGGGAGCAAACAGGAUUAGAUACCCGUGUAGUCC